GUUGACCUCGGAUCAGGUAGGGAUACCCGCUGAACUUAAGCAUAUCAAUAAGCGGAGGAAAAGAAACCAACAGGGAUUGCUCUAGUAACGGCGAGUGAAGCAGCAAUAGCUCAAAUUUGAAAUCUGGCGUCUUCGACGUCCGAGUUGUAAUUUGUAGAGGAUGCUUCUGAGUGGCCACCGACCUAAGUUCCUUGGAACAGGACGUCAUAGAGGGUGAGAAUCCCGU
This 226-nucleotide ribosomal RNA is filed under the name Cladosporium ramotenellum. Its description in RNAcentral is "partial 28S ribosomal RNA". It matches the Rfam family "Eukaryotic large subunit ribosomal RNA", at positions 1 to 224 of the family's 3401-position model. The record is from RNAcentral. Lineage: Eukaryota; Fungi; Ascomycota; Dothideomycetes; Cladosporiales; Cladosporiaceae.